Molecule: ribosomal RNA, 124 nt
Filed under: uncultured Azospirillum sp.
Lineage: Bacteria; Pseudomonadati; Pseudomonadota; Alphaproteobacteria; Rhodospirillales; Azospirillaceae
Description: partial 16S rRNA
Rfam family: Bacterial small subunit ribosomal RNA
Source: RNAcentral
UGGGGAAUAUUGGACAAUGGGGGCAACCCUGAUCCAGCAAUGCCGCGUGAGUGAUGAAGGCCUUAGGGUUGUAAAGCUCUUUCGCACGCGACGAUGAUGACGGUAGCGUGAGAAGAAGCCCCGG